RNAcentral lists this ribosomal RNA (771 nucleotides) under Rinodina cinnamomea. RNAcentral's name for it is "partial small subunit ribosomal RNA". It matches the Rfam family "Bacterial small subunit ribosomal RNA", at positions 385 to 1150 of the family's 1533-position model. Lineage: Eukaryota; Fungi; Ascomycota; Lecanoromycetes; Caliciales; Physciaceae. The record is from RNAcentral.
UAUAGCGCAAAGCUAGUUGCAUUUAACUUAGCUAAAUCUAAGUUGAUGCAAGAUUGACUGUAUCGAAUAAAGUUCUAGGUGGGUUAUGAUGAUGACAUUUCCUAUCUAUGUGUCUUGACCAAAUUACGUGCCAGCAGUCGCGGUAAUACGUAAAAGACUAGUGUUAUUCAUCUUUAAUAGGUUUAAAGGGUACCUAGACGGUAAAUCAAGUCCGAGAAGGAUACUAAUUUGACUAGAGUUUAAUGUGAGGGGGCACUAAAGUACUGAUAAGUGUAGAGAUGAAAUUCUGUGAUACAAUAUACGGCACUGGCAAAGGCGAAAGCAUCUCAUUAUGUAAUAACUGACGUUGAGGGACGAAGGCAUGGUUAGCAAAAAGGAUUAGAUACCCAAGUAGUCUUAGCAGAAAAUUAUGAAUGUCAUAGGAUGGAAAGUUGCAUGGACAAAAAACAAAUUUUAAACAAAUUUGUUGUUCAACAAAUUUUUUUUUUUCUAUAAAUGAAAGUGUAAGCAUUCCACCUCGAGAGUAAUUUGGCAACAUUGGAACUGAAAUCAUUAGACCGUUUCUGAAACAAGUAGUGAAGUAUGUUGUUUAAUUUGAUGGUCCGCAAAAAACCUUACCACAAUUUGAAUAGAAAAAUUUUUUUUCAUACAAGCGCUGCACGGUUGUCUUCAGUUAAUGUCGUGAGAUCUUGGUUAGUUCCAUUAAAUUAACGUAAACCCUUACUUUAUUUUUAUAUAGAGUAGUUCACCGCUAGAUUGGAUGAGAUAACA